This 380-nucleotide unclassified non-coding RNA is filed under the name fungal sp. RNAcentral's name for it is "partial internal transcribed spacer region". The stretch from base 1 to 46 matches the Rfam family "Eukaryotic small subunit ribosomal RNA", at positions 1786 to 1831 of the family's 1831-position model. The record is from RNAcentral. Lineage: Eukaryota; Fungi.
AAGUCGUAACAAGGUUUCCGGAGGUGAACCUGCGGAAGGAUCAUUAACACGUAUCCAAACGUUAAAACCCCCCCCGUGAAUAAAUCAUAGCCCGGAAAGUUGUAGUGAUUCAGAGACCUCUGGCUACGUGCAAACAUUUGAACAGUUACAAUCGAGCGGUAGUUCUAUAGGCAAUGUUUCCCCAAGCAGUCAGUGUCGGAAAGUGUCAUUGAUUGUGCAAGGAUAGCGCUUCUACGAUUCCUGUAGACCGUACACUCGGGCAGGAGCUUUGCCAAAGGGUCCCCAUGCCCCCUAAUAACCCCACAGUUUAAUGUGAAGCUCAAUGUAAUACAUUGGGUAAAAAAACCGAACAACUGUUAACAAUGGAUAUCUUGGUUCUC